This 28-nucleotide small RNA is filed under the name Bombyx mori (domestic silkworm). RNAcentral's name for it is "ovarian small RNA-18955". Lineage: Eukaryota; Metazoa; Arthropoda; Insecta; Lepidoptera; Bombycidae. The record is from RNAcentral.
UAACUAGACCUAAUUUGGCUUGAGGGUC